ACUGUCAGCGAUUGACAGAAUGCGACCUGCAAAUUCAUAGUUAAGACGAGACAACGUCUGUCGGGUCAGCUUGUUUUGAAUAAAUGAAUCCCUUUUAGUCGAAUUUCCGUAACGGCGGCCAAUCUCUACAGACAUCAGCCACUUGUGCACUUUAAUAUGCGUACUGCGUACCUACGUAGGAGAUAUUAAUGUGCACAAGUGUGUGCGCAAUAUACUGGAAAAGUAAAAUCCAUCUGUCUGUUGUUAUUUUAGUAGCAUGAUUAUGGUUGUUGGUUCGCGCUCCGAGUUGAGGAAGAAUUAAUAAAAAAGUGAUAUUCGAAAAACUUAGGUUGCCGGGGAAUUUGGGUCCAUAUGGCGAUUGGACAAUACCCUUUAAAAAAACAUCAUGAGAUGGAUACAAUAAGGUUGGUUAAAUGUGCUGACAAAAGCUAGGUUACUUCCAGACAUAUCGAUAUUUUGGCAAUGGAACAAAAUUUGCCAAAAUGAAUUCGAAAGUUAAAAGAAGAAAAAAAUUGCAACUUCAAAGUAUGGAACAAAAAUUAUGAUUUAAUAGAUUGAGGAAACCACGCAUAAUAUUAACAUGAUUCAAAUAGUACUAAACCUAAGGGAUAUAAUGUACAGCGCAAUCAUAAAUACAACCACAACUAUUUAUGUGAAUGAUUCGUGAAAAGAAACACCGAAUACCAUACUAACUUCAUCGUUUCAAACUAAUAAAUUAAAAUUAUGGAUUCAAUUACUCAGAGCGUGUGAAGUUCGCAACUCCAGCGAAAUCAACUUACCUGCGAACUAACAACUGUAAUAAAAUUCUUUAGCAACUGUUAUUGUUCUUGUACUUUUAAUUAAAUGUUUUCAAACGGUA
Molecule: long non-coding RNA, 859 nt
Organism: Manduca sexta (tobacco hornworm)
Lineage: Eukaryota; Metazoa; Arthropoda; Insecta; Lepidoptera; Sphingidae
Exons: 2
Source: RefSeq, a predicted model, not a curated record